CUACGUGCCAGCAGCCGCGGUAAUACGUAGGUCCCGAGCGUUGUCCGGAUUUAUUGGGCGUAAAGCGAGCGCAGGCGGUUAGAUAAGUCUGAAGUUAAAGGCUGUGGCUUAACCAUAGUACGCUUUGGAAACUGUUUAACUUGAGUGCAAGAGGGGAGAGUGGAAUUCCAUGUGUAGCGGUGAAAUGCGUAGAUAUAUGGAGGAACACCGGUGGCGAAAGCGGCUCUCUGGCUUGUAACUGACGCUGAGGCUCGAAAGCGUGGGGAGCAAACAGGAUUAGAUACCCCGGUAGUCCUGGCCGUAAACGAUGGGUACUAGGUGUAGGAGGUAUCGACCCCUUCUGUGCCGGAGUUAACGCAAUAAGUACCCCGCCUGGGGAGUACGACCGCAAGGUUGAAACUCAAAGGAAUUGACGGGGGCCCGCACAAGCGGUGGAGUAUGUGGUUUAAUUCGACGCAACGCGAAGAACCUUACCAGGUCUUGACAU
Molecule: ribosomal RNA, 487 nt
Filed under: uncultured bacterium
Lineage: Bacteria
Description: bacterial SSU rRNA
Rfam family: Bacterial small subunit ribosomal RNA
Source: RNAcentral